Cinara cedri is the source of this 683-nucleotide non-coding RNA. The record is from the annotation of a GenBank genome assembly. Lineage: Eukaryota; Metazoa; Arthropoda; Insecta; Hemiptera; Aphididae.
GCCAGAAGCAAAUGGAGGAAAUAUGUGAUAUGUUAUGUAUAAUAUGCAAAAUAUUUUCGAAAAACAUAAACGUCUUCUAAUAAACCAUUUGAUGAAUGUUAAAGCAUUAAACUAUUUUAAAGACCAUAUUUUGUUUUUUACGCACACAUUUUCAGAGUAAAAGUUAUUGUCUUGUAUUAAUUUUGGAGUUAAGGUUUUCAAUAUUACAAACAAAUAACUAAACUCUCACAGUAUCAUUAUAGGUGGUAUGAUGAGUAAGUAAUGUCUCAUGAAAUCAAUACAACAAAUGAACUGUAAUUAAAAACUAUUUUAUUAUAUCACUUUUGUUAAAUUUAUUACACAAUAUUAUACGGACAAAAGUUGAUUUUUAAUGUCUUUUAAUCUAACGGUGAGGGUGACCAGGAGUACCUGGAUUUUCAGGUAAAUUAGGAAUUGAUGGAGGGCCAGGGUACUCGAAAUACGGAUCAUCAGGGAGAAGAGGUGGAAUAUCGGGAGCAAACGGACUUACACCUAUAUCUUGUACUGACACCGGCAUAAAAGAAUAAAUAAUAACACACGAAACGAUAAAUUUUAAUAGCAUAUUUGCAAACAAUCCGAAAAAGAUACGCGAAUAAUACGAUACUCUUAGGAGACACAAAAUUAAUUUUAUGCUUUGAUUUUAAUAUAUCUCAGUUAAAUGCUAC